GAAUUCGCCCUUAGAGUUUGAUCCUGGCUCAGGACGAACGCUGGCGGCGCGCCUAACACAUGCAAGUCGAACGAGAGAUGAGGAGCUUGCUCUUCAAAUCGAGUGGCGAACGGGUGAGUAACGCGUGAGGAACCUGCCUCAAAGAGGGGGACAACAGUUGGAAACGACUGCUAAUACCGCAUAAGCCCACGGCUCGGCAUCGAGCAGGGGGAAAAGGAGCAAUCCGCUUUGAGAUGGCCUCGCGUCCGAUUAGCUAGUUGGUGAGGUAAUGGCCCACCAAGGCGACGAUCGGUAGCCGGACUGAGAGGUUGAACGGCCACAUUGGGACUGAGACACGGCCCAGACUCCUACGGGAGGCAGCAGUGGGGAAUAUUGCACAAUGGGGGAAACCCUGAUGCAGCGACGCCGCGUGGAGGAAGAAGGUCUUCGGAUUGUAAACUCCUGUUGUUGGGGAAGAUAAUGACGGUACCCGACAAGGAAGUGACGGCUAGCUACGUGCCAGCAGCCGCGGUAAAACGUAGGUCACAAGCGUUGUCCGGAAUUACUGGGUGUAAAGGGAGCGCAGGCGGGAAGACAAGUUGGAAGUGAAAUCUAUGGGCUCAACCCAUAAACUGCUUUCAAAACUGUUUUUCUUGAGUAGUGCAGAGGUAGGCGGAAUUCCCGGUGUAGCGGUGGAAUGCGUAGAUAUCGGGAGGAACACCAGUGGCGAAGGCGGCCUACUGGGCACCAACUGACGCUGAGGCUCGAAAGUGUGGGUAGCAAACAGGAUUAGAUACCCUGGUAGUCCACACCGUAAACGAUGAU
Molecule: ribosomal RNA, 804 nt
Filed under: uncultured bacterium
Lineage: Bacteria
Description: bacterial SSU rRNA
Rfam family: Bacterial small subunit ribosomal RNA
Source: RNAcentral